Molecule: ribosomal RNA, 494 nt
Filed under: uncultured bacterium
Lineage: Bacteria
Description: partial 16S ribosomal RNA
Rfam family: Bacterial small subunit ribosomal RNA
Source: RNAcentral
GACGAACGCUGGCGGCGUGCUUAACACAUGCAAGUCGAACGGAAAGGCCUGCUUUCCCUUGUGGAUUGCGGGUACUCGAGUGGCGAACGGGUGAGUAACACGUGAGUGAUCUGCCCCCAACUUGGGUAUAAGCCUGGGAAACUGGGUCUAAUUCCCGAUAGGACUGCAGGGCGGUGCCUGUGGUGGAAAACGAUUUUCUAGUGGUUGGGGAUGAGCUCGCGGCCUAUCAGCUUGUUGGUGGGGUAAUGGCCUACCAAGGCGGCGACGGGUAGCCGGCCUGAGAGGGUGGACGGCCACAGUGGGACUGAGAUACGGCCCAGACUCCUACGGGAGGCAGCAGUGGGGAAUAUUGCACAAUGGGCGGAAGCCUGAUGCAGCGACGCCGCGUGGGGGAUGACGGCCUUCGGGUUGUAAACUCCUUUCGACCGCGAGGAAGCCACCUGGUUGGAAGGGUGGUGACGGUAGUGGUAGAAGAAGCACCGGCUAACUACGUG